AAAGUCCUGCGGGGCCCGGCGUCACCGGCUGUGAUGCGCCGCCGGGCGCCUGUUUCUGUCCUGGCUUAGCCACCUGGGCUUUAGGCUGGAAGAGAAGCGCAGCGUCAGUGGGCUCGGAAAAGCUGGAUUUGCAGUCACCCACCAGUUAGGAUCCCAGACCGGGGACUCAUGACUCAGAACCGCAGGGUGCCAGCCUGCUGAAUGGGGCUGGCACCACCGUACCGGAGCGCUGUGCUGUGGCUUAGUCUCCAUCCAAAUUAUAGUCUCCAUCCAAACCUGCCAUCUCAGUAAGUAAACUGAGGCCUACAGAUGGGCAAUAUCUUUCCCCAGGACACAGUCAUUCCUUUAGUAAAUAAUAUUUGAGCACCUGCUGUGGACUGGGGAACCACUUUCUGCUGGUGGCAAGGCCAGGAGCACCCUGGUGUCCCUACCAGCCCCCGUUGCCAACACUUGGCUCGUGCCCUAGUAUGAAGGGACUGUGUCCUAUACGAAUCAGGCCUUUACCCAGAGUGUCCAACGUGUUUCCAGCCUCUGGUACCUCCAGAACCAUCCUUGUGAAUCCUCAGGUAACCCCCACCGUCCUUUACAGGACUCAGUCCACACCCCCACCACCUCUCCCCUCUCUAGAAUAGAUCUUCCCAUGUGGUUUGUCUCCACCUUCCCCAGAAAUAUUCUUCCUGCGCUCCUUCCUUCCCUUCCCUGUCCCCUAUAUGAAUCCAAAUCUUUCUUUCUCUCAAGAUCCUGCUUCAACCCUGCGUUUUUCCAGGAGGAGGAGCCUGGCCAGUUUUCUAAACUCAGGUAGCCCCUAAUGGAUAGGGAAAAGAGUCAGGUGACCUCACUCUGAAGAAAUGCUGCCCUGGGCCCAAGCAUCCUGACGGUGUGACCUGGCUAUUUCAGGACCUACCCCCAUUCUGACUCAGCUACCCCCACCAUCAGGAAAGCUGGGAAAUCAGAAGGCACAUAGAGAGAGUGCCCUGGAGGCUCAAAGGAUGGGCUGUAUCUAAGCAGCCAGGGCCUCUGCCCUGUUCCACCAACCAGUUCCUAGGCAGCCACGGUGCCAGUGGCCUUUGCAGAUGGAGAAGCUGAGGGUUGGCGGCUGAAAUCCACUCACAUAAGGUCAUACGGCAAGUUCUCUCUCUCUACGCGUCCUGAGGGAGCACCUAUCUAUGUGGUUUACUGUCACAUCUGCGGUAUCUAGCCCAGUACCUGGCAUCAUGGGGGAACUUGGUGCUCACUUGGCUCUUGUGGAUGGAGAUUGCCCAGGCCAGCUGGAGGGGCAGCUGCUGCCGGCUGAGGAGCUGGCCCCCGGUGGCCUGCACCGUCCAGCGGUCAGCGCGGAUGACCUCAGUGACUCCACACAGGAACCGCACCUGCGGCAGCCCUGAGGAAGCAUGGAGAAGGCCAACCUUUCAGCCCUGCUGAGCUCAGAGUGCUGCUGAGGAAGUUGGAUAUGACAAGUGAGCACAGGCCAGAGGUUUGCAGGACCUGGACAUGGGGCUGAUGUGGACUCCCUGCAAUACUGGGUACCCUGCGAUCAGAUCAGCCUCGAGGGUAAAAUCUUCUAGCCACUUGCCUGCUGCCUUGGGUAAAAAAUCCAGCCUAUACUUCUAUUCUCUCCAAUUUCAGGCUUUCUUCCACCUGGAAGACCGGGCAUAGCAGCGACUCAAGCGGGACAAGGGGAAUAGCAUGGAACCAUCUCUACCUGCUCUGCCCCUCAGCCUUCUUCUUGUCCCCUAUGAGUGCUGGUGUGUGCUGUACCUCUUUCUGUCUGCCUCCUGUGUCUCUGCCAGGGGACCCCAGGCAUAGAAAGCCCCUCACAGCCACUCUACCGCACUCAUCCCAUCCCAAUCUGACCUGUCAUAUGCUCUGGCCCAUGUCUUAUGCCCUCCUGGCCUACUUUCUACUCCCACGGUAGAGUAGCUGUGGCAUUUCAACCUUUUGUCCUAGCUGGGGAGAGAACAUGUCUGCAACCUCCCCUCUCCCACCAAGUUGCCCCCUGGGCUCUAAGAGUAGAAAGCCCUGGGGUGUUAAAGUCAGACCACUUACUGCCAUGACUUUGGGUAAGUAAACAUCUCUGAAUGCCUUCUGUGUGUCCAUCUGUCUGUCCAUCUUUCCUUCCCUGACACCCACUUUGUGCCAGUCCCUGUGCUGGGUGACAGGGACCCAACCCUGAGGGAGGCUGGGUCCCAGUGCUCACAGAGUGGCUUUCUCCUACAGGGCCAUGAAGUUCUCGACUACAAUCUGCCCUAGGUUGCCCAGUGUCUCGGACAAGGCUUCUCUUCCUGUACAGACUGCUUGUUCUCGAGGACAAGCAUCUCUCCCCCUUCCCUGGGUCCCUGUGUUCCACUCUGACCCACGCCUGGAUCCUCAUCCUGUGGCCCCUUCUUCAUCCACCAGGGCCCACCUGCCCAGCCUCACAGCCUGCAGCAGAGAGAUGAAGAGAGGAGCAUGGGGUGCUUUAGGCGCUAAGGUGGGCGGCUUCCACACAGGAAGAGCAGCCAGCCCCCACCAUACACACUGACCUGGCCACGGCCUCCAGCUUGUCAAACAGGUCCGCCUCCACCAUCGAGAUCUCGUCAAUGACCAGCCGCUGGCAGUUGAGCCAGCCCUGCCGCACGCCUGGCCUUUGGGCCAGGGCCACACACUGGGCCAGGGGAGCCUGCCCUGAGCCGAUGCCUGCCUGGCUUGCUCUAAGUUCAAGUCCUAGGGCCCCCACUUACCUGCAAAGGCAUGGAGGGUGGUGCCCCCGAUGUGGCAUGCUGCCACCCCCGUGCUGGCAGUAGCCACAGUGCCUGUAGGGGGCAGUG
This is a non-coding RNA of Microcebus murinus (gray mouse lemur), 2807 nucleotides long. The record is from RefSeq and is a predicted model, not a curated record. Lineage: Eukaryota; Metazoa; Chordata; Mammalia; Primates; Cheirogaleidae.